GUCGGCACCUACACGUACUUCUUUUUCCUUCUAUUUGUUACAUCUGUGUAGCUAUUUUUUAUUCUAAUUUUAAUACCAUGGUUCUUAUAUGAAAACCCUAAUGUUUAUCAGAUCAGAUUUCUAUUCGUAAAAAACUUUAUAUUUUGGGUUUUGUGGAAAAUUGAAGAAAACCCAAUAAAAUUGAUGUAUCAAACUUGUGUGUCAUUUUACUUUGAUGUUAGUGAUUAUAAGUUUUGGGAUAAUUAGGUUUGAUUAUCAAAAUCUAAUUAUGGGUUUUUGAUUGCUUGAACUAGUGUUUAUGGCUAUAGCUAUAGUCAGUUUUUUCUGCUCUGCCCAGGGUGUAUAAUUCAACCAAUUACCCGUAUUAUCUUCCAUUUAUUUCCCCACACAAAUCGCAAAACUCAACACAAUCCAUAAUAUUUGGGAUUAUUUUAUGCUGGAAUAUUUGGUAAUUCUUUGUGACCCAAGGUUUAUCUGUACUCGCUCGUAAUGUGACUCUUGAAACGCUAAUUAUCAUAUCAUCUAUGAGGAACUUGCAAUAUUUGAUCAUCAGUAUAAUCCUGUGCUUUGUGAUAAAUUAUAUUUAAGAGCAUGGGAAAUUUGAAGCAGUUUUAUGCAGUAUUUUUGCAGAUACUUGUAUAUUGGUUGAGAGUUGCUUUGUUCUACUUCUACCUCUGUUAUUUUUGCUUUAGAUGCCUUUUUUAUCAAUUAUAUCUUAAUGAUUUUUGCGGGAUUUUUUUCCUUAGAUAUGGGAAGUGUAAUCCAGGUUUUAUGCUCCGAUUUUAGAUGCAUCAUAUUUGUUUGCUUUCUUCCUUACUAUGUAAUCUGUGUCUUGUUCGAGUACAAUGAGAAAAAAAAAGGACUUCUGAC
RNAcentral lists this unclassified non-coding RNA (870 nucleotides) under Hevea brasiliensis (rubber tree). Lineage: Eukaryota; Viridiplantae; Streptophyta; Magnoliopsida; Malpighiales; Euphorbiaceae. The record is from RNAcentral.